Molecule: ribosomal RNA, 964 nt
Filed under: uncultured bacterium
Lineage: Bacteria
Description: bacterial SSU rRNA
Rfam family: Bacterial small subunit ribosomal RNA
Source: RNAcentral
CCGCGUGUGUGAUGAAGGUCUGCGGGUUGUAAAGCACUUUUAUUAGGAAAGAAAAACCCGGAGUUAAUACCUCCGGCAUUGACGGUACCUAAAGAAUAAGCACCGGCUAACUCAGUGCCAGCAGCCGCGGUAAUACUGAGGGUGCAAGCGUUAAUCGGAAUUACUGGGCGUAAAGCGAGUGUAGGCGGCUGCGUAAGUCGGAUGUGAAAGCCCCGGGCUCAACCUGGGAAUUGCAUUCGAAACUGCGUAGCUAGAGUUUGGUAGAGGUAAGUGGAAUUCCGGGUGUAGCGGUGAAAUGCGUAGAUAUCCGGAGGAACAUCAGUGGCGAAGGCGGCUUACUGGACCAAAACUGACGCUGAGGCUCGAAAGCGUGGGGAGCAAACGGGAUUAGAUACCCUGGUAGUCCACGCCCUAAACGAUGUCAACUAGACGUUGGGUUCAUUAAGGAACUUAGUGUCGAAGCUAACGCGUUAAGUUGACCGCCUGGGGAGUACGGCCGCAAGGUUGAAGCUCAAAGGAAUUGACGGGGGCCCGCACAAGCGGUGGAGCAUGUGGUUUAAUUCGAUGCAACGCGAAGAACCUUACCAGCCCUUGACAUCCUGGGAACUUUGUAGAGAUACAUUGGUGCCUUCGGGAAUCCAGUGACCGGUGCUGCAUGGCUGUCGUCAGCUCGUGUCGUGAGAUGUUGGGUUAAGUCCCGCAACGAGCGCAACCCUUAUCCUUAGUUGCCAGCACGUUAUGGUGGGAACUCUAAGGAGACUGCCGGUGAUAAACCGGAGGAAGGUGGGGAUGACGUCAAGUCAUCAUGGCCCUUAUGGGCUGGGCUACACACGUGCUACAAUGGUCGGUACAGAGGGCCGCGAUCCCGCGAGGGGGAGCCAAUCCCAGAAAGCCGAUCUUAGUCCGGAUCGCAGUCUGCAACUCGACUGCGUGAAGUCGGAAUCGCUAGUAAUCGCGAAUCAGC